AGGGCACUGAACCAUGAAUAAACAGCACGUGUCUGUCCCCAGCACCCUGCUGACCCACUCCUCGCAGGAGAAAACGGGGCAGCACAUAAAUAAAAUAGUGCCCAUCCCCUCUGCCCAGUGACGCCAGGCCCCACGCACAGCCCAGCCCCACUAAACAGGGGGUGUGGGACCACCAGGCUCGGGGUCUCACAGGGCUCCCGAGGGUGUGCUUGGAGCUGUUCCUUGGGGUUAAGGCUGUUGGGAAAGAUUCCACCCUCCCUCGAAGGGGCUCGCUGUGACCCCUGCCCUCCACACGCCCUAAGCAGCUGUCGGGACGGGCCCUGGUGCAGUGUCCCGCUCUGUUUCUCCUCUGGUUUUACCCGCUCUGUUGGCAGGUAAACAAGCUGCCUGAGAGCCGAGCUGUGUGCCGGAUCCCGUGCCGGGAGGUGAAACGCCGCUUGGCAGGGCAGGGGCAGCCGCCAGCUGAGUCAGAACAGCUGCUUAGCAAAAGAUCUGAAGAGGUUUUGGAAGCAGUUAGAAAAAGAAGCAGGAAAGCCUGAGGCAAGAAAAUGUGCCUUUAUUCUGAAGACCCUCAAAAUGCCUUCAGAGUACUACUUGUUUGUGGAAGCAUUUUGCAAGAACCCUGGCAUCACUUGGGUUAUGAAGCUGCAGGUCUGGCGAGGAGGCUGGGACAGGAGGAUUUGUCUUACCCUUGUGAGAAGUGACUGGGAGGUAAUUAUGCAAACUAACAUGUGAAUUACAGCCGGGAGGAUAGCAGCUAGUGAUUAUCUAACUCUACAAAUGGGAAUGUGUUAAUUGGCAACAAAACCCUUAUAUUAAGCUGAUGUUAUGCCCCACAACCUCAAUUAACACGGUAAAUAACCAGAACACAGUAAACAAGGAUAUAUGAAAAGCCUGUGAUUACUGAAAUUAUACCAACAGCAUAAACAGUUUGUGGCUGACCUCAAAACUUGCAGGCAAGUAAAAAUAAACCUCAUGUUACUCCUUCUGGUGUUGUGAUG
Molecule: long non-coding RNA, 1001 nt
Filed under: Manacus vitellinus (golden-collared manakin)
Lineage: Eukaryota; Metazoa; Chordata; Aves; Passeriformes; Pipridae
Description: lncRNA (ENSMVIG00005005804.1)
Source: RNAcentral